This 429-nucleotide ribosomal RNA is filed under the name Bacteroidota bacterium. RNAcentral's name for it is "Bacteroidetes bacterium partial 16S ribosomal RNA". It matches the Rfam family "Bacterial small subunit ribosomal RNA", at positions 355 to 776 of the family's 1533-position model. The record is from RNAcentral. Lineage: Bacteria; Pseudomonadati; Bacteroidota.
UAGGGAAUCUUCCGCAAUGGACGCAAGUCUGACGGAGCAACGCCGCGUGAGUGAAGAAGGUUUUCGGAUCGUAAAGCUCUGUUGUUAAGGAAGAACGAGUGUGAGAAUGGAAAGUUCAUGCUGUGACGGUACUUAACCAGAAAGGGACGGCUAACUACGUGCCAGCAGCCGCGGUAAUACGUAGGUCCCGAGCGUUGUCCGGAUUUAUUGGGCGUAAAGCGAGCGCAGGCGGUUAGAAAAGUCUGAAGUGAAAGGCAGUGGCUCAACCAUUGUAGGCUUUGGAAACUGUUUAACUUGAGUGCAGAAGGGGAGAGUGGAAUUCCAUGUGUAGCGGUGAAAUGCGUAGGUAUAUGGAGGAACACCGGUGGCGAAAGCGGCUCUCUGGUCUGUAACUGACGCUGAGGCUCGAAAGCGUGGGGAGCGAACAGG